Gadus morhua (Atlantic cod) is the source of this 1396-nucleotide long non-coding RNA. RefSeq lists it as uncharacterized. Lineage: Eukaryota; Metazoa; Chordata; Actinopteri; Gadiformes; Gadidae. The record is from RefSeq and is a predicted model, not a curated record. The transcript has 2 exons.
CAGCUAUGGGAGUAGCCCCAAUAGCAGCUAUGGGAGCAGCUCCAAUAGCAGCUAUGGGAGCAGCUCCAAUAGCAACAUGGUCUAUAAGCGGGAGGGGAAAACUGACGAGUCACAACAGGUUCCUUUCGUUGCGUGGCGAGGAGAUUAAACUCAGCUUUCAAUUUGUGUGAACUGAAACAUAUACGCUUCAACAUUACAACGUCCUCUUUUAAGCAGUUUUUUAACAGUUCCGAAUACUCAGACAACCCGCUGAGCGACUGGACCAUACGGGGGACAAGCUGGCAGGUGGACCAUUCCUACGACGUUGGAGAAGCAUAGAUCUGCCUCUUGAUUUGAAUGCUGAUUCAUUGACAAGUACAACGAGCGAGGAUUUAACCCACCCAACAUGUUGUCCAGUUAUGGAAUGCCAUUGGGGACUAAACCGUCUGGGAAUAUACGGCUCGAUUCAACCAAAUGGACCACGUCAAGAAAGACGUGUUGGCGGGACCCACAUUUAACGUCUUCUGACGUUCCAAUCAAAAUGUAACGAAUGGCUUUUAUGGUCGAUUGUCAACUAGGAUGAACUACAGCCUAAUUAUACUUCAAACAAAACUAUAGUUUUGUUUUAGUUUUUAGUCAGUAGCUCUGAACCUUACUAAGCACCUUGUCAAAAUAAUCUGUAACUAAGUCUAUCUCGCAUGUCUGAUCUUUUUUUGACCACAAGGUGAUUCUAUCUAUGCCUCUUCUUGAAAUGCAUCAUGUUUUAGUCGGCAGAGGCUUGUAAUGCUGCAUAGCAUGAUAAGCAUGAUAAGGUGCAAGGAGCAGAAAAAGUUAACAUGGGUUCUAAAAAAUAGUAAUAUUUUUUAUUAUAUAAGCUGAUGAAGCUGACACGUGACCAAUGUUUACUGUAUACAAAUAUUUGUAAUUAAAUGCAAACCCCAGUGAAUCAUUUACUCUUGUUUCUCUGUUUUGAGAUUCACACAGACUUAGCAGUCUUGUUUAAAUGUUACAAAUUGAGUUAAUAAAAUGAAUUUGGAAAUAGUUUUAAGUGUUGCAGAAGUUAUCUACGCUAAUUUUUCUAUUUCAAUACAGGGAUGGAUCCCAGGGGGGGAAUGACAGAAAAUUAUUGAGAAUCACUGGUCUAGAACAUGUUGUACUUGUUGAUUAGCUCAUGUUGUUAUGGCAAUGAAAACGCCCUCAGCUGAUAAAAUAAUGCCAGCGGUUGUUUUUUUUACUGAAAAAUAGCACCCUUUGUUUUUGCAUCAGAAGAUUUAUAAAAAUGUAUGGGUCCCUGAAAGUGUGACAACAUAGUUUAGUGCUCCCGAAAAAGUGGUAUGUUUCUCAUAUUAUUGAUCUGGUACAUGUUGUACCAUUGUGUUUCAGCAACUGUCAAUAAAAAAAAAAGGGAAAAUAUGGU